Long non-coding RNA from Triticum aestivum (bread wheat), 1926 nucleotides. RefSeq lists it as uncharacterized. NCBI's taxonomy places the organism in Eukaryota, Viridiplantae, Streptophyta, Magnoliopsida, Poales, Poaceae. The record is from RefSeq and is a predicted model, not a curated record. The transcript is spliced from 7 exons.
CGCCCCUAGCGCCACCGCCCCUGCCUCCUUCCCCACCGCCGCCCGGCCUCCUCCCCUCACGUCCUCCUCCUUCCACCCCCUUCAAUCUGGCGCCGCCCAAACCAUGAAGAGCGGCCAAAGGAGCAACGACGGCCAGCCCCUGCCUCCUCUCCAGCACGUCCAGGGAUCCAUAGAUUGGUCCACAAUUACCUGACUCUCGUUUUUGUUAUUGGAUCUGGCUGCCGCGGUCGCCGUGGUCUCCUCGUGGUCGUCGGUCAGGUCGUUCGAAGGUGUGAAGUUUUGGGCCGUGCGCGUCGCUUGUCGUCGUCUUGGCCGCCGGUUGCUGUCAAAGUAGAGAUGCCAUUAGGGUUUGUUUUGCUGGUUGGUGGCCAGUAGUUUGCUUCCUCUUGCACCGGAUUAGUUGCCGCUCUUCGAGGAUAAGUCAAGUUGCUUCGUCGCGCAGGUGGCAGUUGGUUUCCUUUUCUGAGCCCGAUUGUGACAGCCUCAAAUCGCAAAAGGCGUAAGCUAGCCAGGAUAUGCAGAUCAUGUUGUCAAAGGGCCCUUGCCGGAUGAUUGGCGAUGUUUCCCGGUUACGUUCGUUGAGUCCCUUAAAGCUUCUUAUGCAGAUAGAUCGUAUUAUGGCCCUCUGGAGUAAAAGUGCGAGUGUGUAUAUAUUUUUGGAUCACAUGGUCUAAUUUGGCAUUGCGGAUUCAUACCUUCACAGAUUUCAAAUUCUGACAGCAUUGCAAUCCAAGCAUAUCGUUUCAAUUGAACUAAGGAAUUUUUCUCAGUGUGGUUGAUGGUUGAUGUAGGAGGGGUGUAUUGACGGCAGUUUCAAGCUGAUUGGAUGGCCGCCGUCAUGGGUGAUGCUGCCAACUGGAGAAACUACAUCAGACUCUCUAUAUCAAGCUGUUAAAGUCAUCACUGAAUGACUGAAUCGGCUUCAGCCUAAGGUUUGAUCAGGAAAGAGUUAGUUGUGUUGAUAUGUGGCGCCUCUAGCUGCACUGGCUCCAGGGAAUCCCGAUAGCAUGGUUUGCCUCGUGUGAAUUUGUUUGCUGUGAUGUUUAUAAUCAUGUUAAAUAUUUGGAUGUGUUCUUUGAAUUAAUCUCUGAUUAUCUGCGUGGUAUAUCUGGCCAUUCUACCAUUUCCUUAUUAUUAAGAGGUAUAUGUGUUCCUUUUCGGAUUAGGUACGGAAUAUAACAUCACUUGCUUUUGUCCUGCCAACAGCAUGGGUGGAGUUACAAACACUUGAAGAGUUGGCACAUAAAAUCUCUAAUGUAUAUUCUAUUGUCUAGGAGAACGCCUAGAAAGAUUAAAAAAUGCUCAAGUAUAAUAAUCUCAACUCUCAAGACUAUAUAUAUUGGUAGUACUGUAGGCACAUCGCUGGUUACUAUUAUUUGUUACAUGUGGAGUUAGGGCAGUGAGUUGAUUUGCUAUGAUAGGAUUCCUAUAUAUACUUAAAAAGGUGGUGCCUCUUUUCUUUAAUAUGAAUGUGUCUGUUCCAUUACAUAUGGACAAAUGGUCGUGCCAGUGGCUUCCAUGAGGAACUAUCUAUUUAUGUAUAUCUAAUUAUGCAAGAAACAUCAAUUUUAUUAUGUCUAUGCUUGCAGUGUUAGCGUUGUUUAGAAAUAAUUCAUGCAUUCCUAAUUGGAUCCUAGAGUUAUUACUGGGUACUUAUCUUGGACUAUUGUUAUGACUUGCUUUUGUAUAUUAUGCUACAUUUUCUAUGAUGUUGUGCACAAAGAGAUGUAAUAAUCUGAGCCACUCAUAAUAGAAGUCCUCCUGCGUCGUUCUUUGAGAGAUACGAAAUGCUGGAUCAAUGGUCUCUAUUUCCUGUUAUCUGUCUACUGGCUCUCUUUAUCUUUGCAUCAUGUGACCUGUGGUAUUUAUAUUGCGUACUACUGUCUAAUUAACCAAGCGUUCGCUUCACUGUUGUACCCCAAGGUU